This 42-nucleotide non-coding RNA is filed under the name Trypanosoma brucei brucei. The record is from RNAcentral. Lineage: Eukaryota; Euglenozoa; Kinetoplastea; Trypanosomatida; Trypanosomatidae.
AACCAAAAUGAAUCAUGAAAGAGAAGUAAAGAUAUAUGUAUA